CCGAAUCAACUAGCCCCGAAAA
RNAcentral lists this small RNA (22 nucleotides) under Arabidopsis thaliana (thale cress). RNAcentral describes it as "Ath_wt_19271". Lineage: Eukaryota; Viridiplantae; Streptophyta; Magnoliopsida; Brassicales; Brassicaceae. The record is from RNAcentral.